AAAGAAUAUGAAAUAUUCCCUCUUUUAAAGAUCUUUAAAAGGGGGAAUAUUCCAUAUUCCCCCUUUUAAAGAUCUUUAAAAGGGGGAAUAUGAU
Non-coding RNA from Paramuricea clavata, 94 nucleotides. Lineage: Eukaryota; Metazoa; Cnidaria; Anthozoa; Malacalcyonacea; Plexauridae. The record is from the annotation of a GenBank genome assembly.